RNAcentral lists this unclassified non-coding RNA (3175 nucleotides) under Leishmania donovani. RNAcentral's name for it is "gene:LdHU3.35.5160(CDS-product:Chromosome_passeng er_complex_(CPC)_protein_INCENP_N_inal_putative)". The record is from RNAcentral. Lineage: Eukaryota; Euglenozoa; Kinetoplastea; Trypanosomatida; Trypanosomatidae.
CCUUCAUCAUCUAUGUGCGGUUGAUGCACUCGACUCCUUUGAUGCCACAUACAUGGAUUUAUUGGUACGCGUGUACUGCAGCAGUAGCUCCCCACCGUUCACUUUCUUUUUCUGUGCACCACGCCUCUUCCCUGCUUUGCUCCUCUCCCUCUCCGCUCCCGCUUCUCACUUUGCGGGCCCUCUACGAGGUGAUGGGCACGAAACGUGGAGGACAGUGCACAUACAAGGAAAGAAAAGGGGGAGACCGUCAGGUAGCCGUUGACAUAUAGUGCGUAGCAGGACGCAAACACGCGAGCACUCACCUUCACGCACAGCGACCAGGCACUUAAGCAUUCCACUCCACCACCUCUCUCCGCGGCUACUUCAGAGGGGGCCGGAAGAGAGGGAGGGGGGGGGCAGCGUAGCGCUUGCCAAUUGAGGGCAGAAAAAGUCCGGUGCCUUGAUCGAACGCUAUCAGUGUUUACUGCUUCAUCAGCCUCAUCACAUCCUCUAUCUCCAACGUGGUGGUUCUCCCUUGAGUUCUUUUAAGCUAGCCCUAAUGCUUCGGCGUAGCGUAUUAACGCGGCGCUACCCCUUCACCAAGCGCGGCCCCCGGGAGCGCAAGUCGUGGAAGCACCAUGUCCUGACGGAGCCUCCGAAACCGGUGGAGUGGCGUGACCCGAAGGUGUGGACGAAGGACUUGAGCCAGAUGAAGUCGUUCGACGCGCCUCAGUGGGACCUCUGGCUUAACCGAUCCAGGUCGCAAGACAUGGACGAGGCACUGCAGCCGUUCAUGGACAUGCCUCAGUCCCUCAAAGACCGUCGGUAUGAUAUUCCCUGGUGGGCGAACCCUUUCGGUGCGUGGUACCUUCAAAACGUGCUUUCGGUAGAGCUAAUGAAGCUGCCUGGGCGAACAAAUGCUGAGAAGAUUGCCAUCUACCGCGGGCGCAAGCGCCCCGCCACAUGGGACAAGUCGAAGGAGGGACUCAUGGACGAUGAGGUGCUGCUGAAGCAAAUUGUAAAGGAGCGCUGGCGCACCCUUGAAUUUGGCGACCGUGACGCUGGCUACCCGUGCACGUUCAGCGACUACAUCCAGUUCUUGAACGAGUGGUUCAAGUCUCUGGAUGAGGAGGGGCUGCAGCGGCUGAGAGAGCACUUUGAUCGCAAAAUUCGCCCUCUUCUUGCCGUGAUGACUCACGUAGACCUGAUGUGGCUCGAGGCGCUCACCCAGAAUUCCGUGCAGAACAAGGAGCAGUUGGAGCGACGCAUCGGGUUCCAGACGUCCCUGGGCACGCCCGAGUUCUUCGACAUGUCGAAAAGGCUUCGAUACGAGAUCAAUGAGGACUACAAAGUGCGAGAUGAGCUAGGACCGGAACUGUUUGCGCUGUGGAGCAAGGCACCGGAGCGUUGGCCACCGGAACGGCUGGCGAAGAUGUAUGGUCUCGACUUCACGCUUGUCCGGAAGAUUCUCGUCUGGCACCACUUCAAGGCAUGCUACGACGCUUGCGUAGAGCCAGACUGGACCUUGCCGAAGCGCCUCUUUGCGCUUGAGUGGAUUCGCGAUGUGCGGGCCCGCAAACAGGGUCUCUUCUACGGCAAGCUGCGUUUUGCAGAACAGAAGAUCACGUUUUACAGUGACAAGUUUCUCUUUCGCGACCUCGUCAACCGCCGUGAGGCGAGCUACGCAAAUGUGUGGGAGAUGGACGACCCGUAUCGUUUUCUGCAGACGGAGCAAGACUACGAGGAUUACUGGGGCGACAACUACGACGUGUAUCGGCGCAUGUUCCCUGAGAUGAUUGGUAAGACCGGCGAGCCAGUGCAGCAGUACAGCCAGAUGCCCGUGUGGGCGGGACCGCACCGCGACCACGCGAACAAAUCCGAGCACAACUGGAUGUUUGCGGAGAUCGGCGUGAAUGUCGGUCACGAGCCGCUGAAGAAGCUGGAGCUGGAUCCGACAAACGAGAAACGGCGUCGCUUUGUCAUCCGCCAACCUGACGGCUCGCUGCGGUCGGCAAAAAUGUCGGAGAUGCGGGCGUGGUACUGGAAGGAGGAGUGGGCGGACUUCCGAUUUUGGGCCCCUCACAUGGAGUGGGGUGUCGAGAACACGCCCUCCAUGGAGCAGUACCAGGAGCACGUACCGGACACACCCGACGCUGACUAUCGCAAGCAGCGCCGCAUUCAGUCCCGCCCCGUAAAGUGGUUUUACGAGAGCCACUAUAGCCGCAGCGGCAACUUUGCUGGAUUUCAGCCGUUACGAUUCAUGCAGCGCCGCACCCAACGUGAGGUGCGGUGGCCCGAUGUCAUCAACGCUGCUGUGCAGAUCGAGAAGAGCAAGCCGAGCUCCUACGUGUUCAAGGCAAUCCCAGAAAUUUAAGUCUGAUUCAUGCGAUUUUUGUCUGUGCGCAUCCACGACAACAUUUUGCUCUGCUUCCUCUCUCAUUGCUCGUUGCUGCUCGGUUACACCUCUUUUCCGCGUGGCUGGGUGCGGGCUCCGACUGGGUGACAUGGCGACAGGGAAGGGGAAGGUAGUUGGAGGAGGAAACGAAGGGCGGCAUGCGACGAUCUUCUCUCUCCAUGUACAUCAUAUGCCUGCCUGCGCGUUUCGUUUUCCGCUGCUCACGCUGCUGUUUCUUAAUUUUGUCGUUGUGGAAGCGGCUUCGGUGGUGUACCGUUUUUUUUUUUUGCUCGUUUUGGUGGUGACGAUGCUGCCAGUAGCAGUGAGGUGGGGAAGGGGCGUCACCGAGGAAGACAGCGGUAGUCACAGCGGUACAGACUUUUGCUUUUGCGCUUUCCCUCGAUCGCCCACUGGGGAGAGCACAGACGCUUUACGUUUCGAUGCUUGCGCAUGCUUGUGUGCAGCGAUGCGUCACUCGGCGGGGAAGGAUACAGCAAAAGUAGAAACGGAAAGAGCAGCCGCCUCACUGUUACACAUUCACAGAGCACGUGAUCGAAGCUAUUGCUGGUAUGGCAUUGCGGAAAAAAAACGGACGCCAAGGCGUCAGGAUCGCUCGAGCUCUCUCACCACCGGCACUGCAGCAUAACAUCGAUAACAGGGGGGGGUCGAAACAAAAGGCGAUCAUUUUGCGUUCAUAAGAUGUGUCGACUCUCUCUUCCUUGACCUUGUUGCGGAAGGGUAUUCCUGAGAAGAAGACGAAUCGAGUGGCUUGCUCAUAUCAAGAGGAGGCCGUCGAAUCAG